RNAcentral lists this ribosomal RNA (461 nucleotides) under uncultured bacterium. RNAcentral describes it as "partial 16S ribosomal RNA". It matches the Rfam family "Bacterial small subunit ribosomal RNA", at positions 339 to 795 of the family's 1533-position model. The record is from RNAcentral.
CUACGGGAUGCUCCAGUCGAGAAUCUUCCGCAAUGGACGAAAGUCUGACGGAGCGACGCCGCGUGCGGGAUGAAGGCCUUCGGGUUGUAAACCGCUGUCAGUGGGGAGGAAAUGCAUCAGGGUUCUCCCUGGUGUUUGACCGAUCCGCAGAGGAAGCGCAGGCUAAGUUCGUGCCAGCAGCCGCGGUAACACGAACUGCGCGAACGUUAUUCGGAAUCACUGGGCUUAAAGAGUUCGUAGGCGGCCUUUCAAGUCGGGUGUGAAAUCCCUCGGCUCAACCGAGGAAUUGCGCCUGAUACUGUUGGGCUUGAGGGGGAUAGGGGUGAGCGGAACUGCUGGUGGAGCGGUGAAAUGCGUUGAUAUCAUCAGGAACACCGGUGGCGAAGGCGGCUCACUGGAUCUCUUCUGACGCUGAGGAACGAAAGCUAGGGGAGCGAACAGGAUUAGAUACCCCGGUAGUC